RNAcentral lists this ribosomal RNA (390 nucleotides) under uncultured bacterium. Its description in RNAcentral is "bacterial SSU rRNA". It matches the Rfam family "Bacterial small subunit ribosomal RNA", at positions 30 to 414 of the family's 1533-position model. The record is from RNAcentral.
AGUGAACGCUGGCGGCAGGCCUAACACAUGCAAGUCGAACGGCAGCACGGCAGUAGCAAUACUGUGGGUGGCGAGUGGCGGACGGGUGAGGAAUACAUCGGGAUCUACCCCGUUGUGGGGGAUAACGUAGGGAAACUUACGCUAAUACCGCAUAAGAACUGAGGUUGAAAGCGGCGGACCGCAAGGCGUCGCGCGAUUGGAUGAACCGAUGUCCGAUUAGCUAGUUGGCGGGGUAAAGGCCCACCAAGGCGACGAUCGGUAGCUGGUCUGAGAGGACGACCAGCCACACUGGAACUGAGACACGGUCCAGACUCCUACGGGAGGCAGCAGUGGGGAAUAUUAGACAAUGGGCGCAAGCCUGAUCCAGCCAUGCCGCGUGGGUGAAGAAGG